UACGUAGGUGGCGAGCGUUGUCCGGAAUUACUGGGCGUAAAGGGCGCGUAGGCGGCCUGUUAAGUCAGAUGUGAAACCCCCAGGCUCAACUUGGGGAUUGCAUAUGAAACUGAUGGGCUCGAGUGUCGGAGAGGAAAGCGGAAUUCCUAGUGUAGCGGUGAAAUGCGUAGAUAUUAGGAGGAACACCAGUGGCGAAGGCGGCUUUCUGGACGAUAACUGACGCUGAGGCGCGAAAGCGUGGGGAGCAAAC
RNAcentral lists this ribosomal RNA (250 nucleotides) under uncultured bacterium. Its description in RNAcentral is "partial 16S ribosomal RNA". It matches the Rfam family "Bacterial small subunit ribosomal RNA", at positions 524 to 773 of the family's 1533-position model. The record is from RNAcentral.